GGCCAUACCACCCUGAAUGUGCCCCAUCUCAUCUGAUCUCAGAAGCUAAGUGGGGUCGGGCCUGGUUAGUACUUGGAUGGGAGAGAUGUGGCAGCU
This 96-nucleotide ribosomal RNA is filed under the name Microcebus murinus (gray mouse lemur). The record is from RNAcentral. Lineage: Eukaryota; Metazoa; Chordata; Mammalia; Primates; Cheirogaleidae.